Molecule: ribosomal RNA, 468 nt
Filed under: uncultured bacterium
Lineage: Bacteria
Description: partial 16S ribosomal RNA
Rfam family: Bacterial small subunit ribosomal RNA
Source: RNAcentral
GACGAACGCUGGCGGUGUGCUUAACACAUGCAAGUCGAACGGUAAGGCCCUUUCGGGGGUACACGAGUGGCGAACGGGUGAGUAACACGUGAGUAACCUGCCCUCAUCUCUGGGAUAACAGUCGGAAACGGUUGCUAAUACUGGAUAUGAGCUUGCAAGGCAUCUUGUGGGUUGGAAAGAUUUUUUUUGGUUGGGGAUGGACUCGCGGCCUAUCAGCUUGUUGGUGAGGUAGUGGCUCACCAAGGCUUCGACGGGUAGCCGGCCUGAGAGGGCGACCGGCCACAUUGGGACUGAGAUACGGCCCAAACUCCUACGGGAGGCAGCAGUGGGGAAUAUUGCACAAUGGACGGAAGUCUGAUGCAGCAACGCUGCGUGCGGGAUGACGGCCUUCGGGUUGUAAACCGCUUUCAAUUGUGACGAAGCUUUUUUGUGACGGUAGCAGUAGAAGAAGCACCGGCUAACUACGUG